RNAcentral lists this ribosomal RNA (301 nucleotides) under uncultured bacterium. Its description in RNAcentral is "partial 16S ribosomal RNA". It matches the Rfam family "Bacterial small subunit ribosomal RNA", at positions 509 to 808 of the family's 1533-position model. The record is from RNAcentral.
CAGUCGCCACGGUAAUACGUAGGUGGCAAGCGUUGUCCGGAAUUAUUGGGCGUAAAGCGCGCGCAGGCGGCCUAUCCAGUCUGUCUUAAAAGUUCGGGGCUCAACCCCGUGAUGGGAUGGAAACUAGUAGGCUAGAGUAUCGGAGAGGAAAGCGGAAUUCCUAGUGUAGCGGUGAAAUGCGUAGAUAUUAGGAAGAACACCAGUGGCGAAGGCGGCUUUCUGGACGAAAACUGACGCUGAGGCGCGAAAGCUAGGGGAGCGAACGGGAUUAGAUACCCGUGUAGUCCCUGUCUCUUAUACC